RNAcentral lists this microRNA precursor (72 nucleotides) under Homo sapiens (human). RNAcentral's name for it is "mir-3689 microRNA precursor family". It matches the Rfam family "mir-3689 microRNA precursor family". The record is from Rfam by way of RNAcentral. Lineage: Eukaryota; Metazoa; Chordata; Mammalia; Primates; Hominidae.
GGGAGGUCUGAUCCCAUGCCUCCUGGGAGGUGUGAUAUCAUGGUUCCUGGGAGGUAUGAUAUCGUGGUUCCU